GACAACAUGAUAUGGGAUCGGGUGGUACGCCUACCACAAGUAUUGAUAAUAUGGAGCGGGUGGUACGUCUACCAUAAGUUAUUGCUAAAAUAAGAGCGGGUGGUAUGUCUACUACGAGAUUUGAUGAAAUGGGAGCGAGUGGUACGCCUACCACAAGUUAUUGCUGAAAUGGAGCGGGUGGUACGCCUACCACAAGAUACAAUGAAAUGGGAGCGGGUGGUAUACCUACCACGUAAAUAUGAGAAAUGGGAUCGGGUUGCACGCCUGCAACGAGAUGUGUACUGACAGUGAAAACCUAUUUUAAUUUUCCUUAUGCGUGUUAGAGUUAAAUUGUUAACUUUCCAUUAUAUUUCCUUUGAAGUUAUGUACUGCUAUCAUGCCCCCUCCCAUAAAAAUGUUUAUUUUGUUUAUUUUCCGUUGUAUAUGAAUAUAAAUGUACAGGUUUAUCUGGAGUCUGGCCCUAGCCUCGUCACUAGCUCGCCGGGGUUAGGGAAGACACUUACCAACA
Molecule: long non-coding RNA, 508 nt
Filed under: Nicotiana benthamiana
Lineage: Eukaryota; Viridiplantae; Streptophyta; Magnoliopsida; Solanales; Solanaceae
Description: long non-coding RNA (NBEN_LNC031374)
Source: RNAcentral